Xenopus laevis (African clawed frog) is the source of this 4361-nucleotide RNA transcript. It is a transcript of the gene named Rho guanine nucleotide exchange factor 1 S homeolog, with no coding region annotated. Lineage: Eukaryota; Metazoa; Chordata; Amphibia; Anura; Pipidae. The transcript is spliced from 34 exons. The record is from RefSeq and is a predicted model, not a curated record.
CCCCGCUCGCUCAGCCCUUCCUGUCUCUCCCCCCACAUCUCACAUUACUUUGUGCUGGUGACAACUACUCUCCUGCCCCAUUCACUCUCUCACAUGAUCCCCCCAGGCCUGAGCCCCCCAAUGUCCAGUCAGCUGGUGUGAGACGCCGGGAGCCCCGCGCAAGGGCUGGAGGUUUCUGCCAGUCUACUGCCAAGCCCCUUGCCUGACACAUAAGAAGCAUGGAUUCAGACGAUGGCCAUUUUGGGGGUUUUCACUCCAAGGGGUCAACUUCGAUCAUUGGAGCAGAGGAUGAGGAUUUUGAAAAUGACAUUGAGCCGAAUAUGGUUGAUGAGAGCAGUUACUUCCGAAGCAUUGCAAUCGUGAAAGACCACCCAGCCUACAUUAUGGUGUUCUUGCAGCAUGUGGUUCUCCAGUUUGACCCAAGCCCACUGCUCUGUUUUCUGCAUGCGGAGAUGCUAAAGAACCUUUCAACCAAAGAGCUCAAGAAAGUCUUCCUGGAGUUUCACUACAGUUUCCUGAUGAAAGGAGCGGUGCUGCAUGUCAAUGUGCCAAGCAGCAUAUCCUUUGAACUGGAUCGGACAAGGCCCGAGUUGAUCCCAGAAGAAACCCAGAGGAAAUUUGUGAAAGAGAUUCAGAGCUACCAAGUAGAGGCCAUUUCCCACCAGCUGGAGGAUUUUAGGGCCAAGCGGGUACUUGGUAUGACCCCCGGGGAACUGGAGCUAAAUGAACUUGAAUCUUACCGAACCAACGAUCGCAGUAUCCUGGAAGCCAAAGAAAAGCAGUUGGCAGAGCAGCUCCUGGCACGGCUGGAUGAGAUGCACCUAACUCUUGCUCCAGACGAGGACAAAAGCUCUUCAAUCUUCUGCGCCAUUGUCGCCUACAUGAAGCACCUAGGGGUGAAGACCAAGGCGGCGGAUAGCAAGAAAUCCAAAGGAAUCUUCUUCAGGAAAAAGGUUUCUACAAACAAAAAGGAUGAGCCUCUGAAAACAAAGAAACCAUUCAGCAUUUUGGAUCCGAUGCGCUGGAACCGGAAUGAUUCUCACUAUGUUGAGAGCAGACCGGCAAAAGUUGAGCCCGAAGCUGAGAAGCCUACCCAGGAGAGAAGGAUCAGCAAUGCGCAGAAAACGUUUGAUAGGAGCGACAGCAGCGCAGCCAAAUCCAAGAACAGCGAGGGUCCUGAUUCUGGGGUGUCUGUAAAUAUCAUCCCUCCUCCUAAUGAGCCCAUUGAGAGCGACCCAGCAAUAACUGAUGGGAUGUUGUUUAAUGACGUAUCUGAGGUCCCCAAAGGAUCCCCCACCACUGAGCAUUGUCCAGCAGACCAUCAGAUGGAGGAAAGUGCAGAAAACGAAAGACGGAAGAAAAGGCUCUCUGGUAAACUGGGCCGCUCGGAGAGCCUACGAGUUUACGAGCGCAAGCGUUCCCAACGUGGCUCCGCCAAAGCCAAGCAGACACGUUCCCGUAGCGACGUUGACCUGGAGGCAGCUGCCCGAGCCAACGACUUGCAGGGCACCACUGGGAAGUUUGGGCCAAAAUCUGGCAACUACACCCCAGAGCCUGGAGGGAGCUCAGAGGGCCCGCCGUCCUUUCUGCUUCCCCAGUCUGAGGAGACUGAGCCGCGCGUUCAGGAGGCCGAGAUCGAACCCCCAAACUGGAGGGAGCUCGUCCCCCCUGAAAUACUCCUCAGGCUGAAGAAAAGUGAAAUCAAGCGGCAAGAGGUCAUCAAUGAGCUCUUCUUUACAGAACACGCUCAUGUGCGGAUGCUUCGUGUGUUGCAUGAUGUCUUCUACAUCCCCAUGCAAAGCGGAUGGAUCCCCACCUUGGAGCUGGAGAACAUCUUCCCCAGCCUGGAUGACCUUAUUGAGGCUCACGCUGUAUUCCUGGACACCUUGAAGCAUCUGCGCCUUGAGAAUAACUCCGUGAUCCAGGAGAUAGGCACCAUUCUGCUGAACCGGUUUGAUGGCACAGAGGGCAACUGGUUUCAGAAGAUUUCAUCUCGGUUCUGUAGCCGGCAGCCAUUUGCCCUGGAACAGCUGAAAGUGAAACAGAAGAGGGACCCUCGAUUCACUCAGUUUAUUCAGGAAGCUGAGAGCAGUCCUCAUUGCCGACGAUUACAACUUAAGGACAUCAUACCAUUUGAGAUGCAGAGACUGACAAAGUACCCGUUGCUGCUGCAGAACAUCGCAAAUCUAACUGAGGAAGAGGAGGAGAAGCAGAGAGUGCAGAGGGCAGCGGAGUGUUGCAGGCAAAUCCUGAACCAUGUUAACCAGGAGGUGCGGGAGAUGGAGAAUAAGAUGAAACUUACAGAUUACCAAAAACGCCUGGAUGUUUCCAACCUGCGGCAAACCAACGACCCUUUAUUAAAUGAGUUUAAGAAUAUUGAUAUCAGCAAAAAGAAUUUGAUACAUGAAGGAUCUCUUUCAUGGAGAGUGAGCAAAGACAAAGCCGUUGAUGUCCAUGUCCUCCUACUGGAUGAUCUCUUGAUGCUGCUGCUGAAACAAGAUGAGCGGCUGGUGCUGAAGUGCCAGAGUCGAACUAUUAUUCCUGCCCCAGAUGGGAAGCUCAUGUUGAGCCCGAUCAUCAAGCUGAAUAUGGCCAUGGUUCGAGAGGUGGCCACAGAUAAGAAUGCCUUUUUUGUGAUUUUCAACUGGGAGGAUCGAGCACAGUUCUAUGAACUUGUGGCACCCACACCAGCUGAAAAGAAAAACUGGUUUUUACUGAUCAGCAAAACUACAGGCUUAUUGGAACCUCCACCUUCUUCCAAACAGAGACACAGAUCUAUCACUCCUGGGACAAUGCCACAGAGCCCCUCCGACUUUGCGGAUCAGCUGCUGAGCAGCUCAGAAAAUGGAAACUCCCUGAAAGAGUCGGUCUCCAAAGAUGAAAAGGAAGAGUCGGUGGAGGAUGCAUCGGAGAGUCUAGAAGAGAAGGACUUUGUCGGCCUAACAGAAUACCUCCUCGCCAGCAACAUCGAUUUGAACCAAGAGGCGGCGUCGGGAGGGAAUGUUGCCAAUGAGGCGUUGGAAGAAGUGACGGUGCUAAAACGUCUGCUAGUGCGCAAUAUCCGCCUGAGCGUGGAUGCAGACUUGCUCUCAACCCUGGAGACUUGGUCAGCCGGGGAAGAAGCUGCCUCCGAAAAGACCACUGAACAGGGAAAGGCCUCCAAUGGGGGUGGGGAGGCCGAGCUUUCUGUAGUGGAAGCUGAAGUGGAAUGUACAGUGCAGGGAGAGAAUGGCAGAAAGCUGAGUCCUACAGAUGGCGCAGAGUCUCUGUGCGCACCCAUUGUACUGUCCAAGGAGCAGUCGGAGGAGGUGAAGAGGCACAUUCUGUCCCUGGAGCAGAGGAUCCAUCAGCUGAAGCUGAUCGAGGAAGAUUACAACAACCUGCACAGAACAAUAACCAAAAUUACUGUACCGAGGAGCAGCUUUACAUGAGACGAUUCUAUCCAGCGGAGUUCACGGGCGCCAUCUUCUUCUCUUCGGUAAUCUUCAUAAUGAGACCGGCGAAGCUGUGCAUGCGCAACUUUCUGUUUCGCGAAAACUGCGCAUCAGCUGAAACUCGCGAGUAUUGCAGAAUCGGCAAUCACAUUCCAAAGAUUACCGAAUCGGCUGAAGAUGGGGCCCGUGAACUCUGGAUCUCAUCUCUGUCCCAGCUGGAAAGCUCCUCCCAUUCAUACCUGUGUGUCAGCCAAAGAAGCAAGAAGUGAUUGGACUUUUCCUUCUGUUCUUAAUAAUCCCAUGUUGGCGGUUGGGACUGAAAAGACUGCCAUAUUUAUAUUGGGUGGGGUGGGGGGGAAGUGGCCGCUAAUCGUCAGGACCCCUAUCCUACAUAUUGGACAACAAAGUGCCUUCUUUUUUAUUUUCAGGGAACCAUUGGAGGGGGGAGACGGCUUCUGAGAUAAUUAUAUAUAUAUUCUGUAUUCGGUUGUUAAAGUUUAUAUAUAUUUUAGAUAUAUAGGUUCUUAUCUUGGCUGUACAGUAAAAUAAUCAUGUCUGCAUUGUAUGAACUGAGAUGACUUUUUCUCCGACCUGUGCAUCUGUAGGGGCCAAGUUUUGCCCCCUCCGUUGAAUUAGUGCCUUAAAAUCCCGUGCCUUACUUCCUGCCCCUUAUCUCUUGCACAGAGGAUGGAGCCAACUGUAGCGCUGCCAACUGCUCUACACUGACUGCAGAGAGUACAUUCCGUUAAUAGAAAGAAACUGCAAUGAGUUCUUUACACUUCCCUCCCGUCUCUAGAGGGUGCAGGGAGUUAUAAUGAAACGACAGCUGUGGGUUAUAGGCUUCUGAGACAUGGGGUAAGUGCUAUAUAGGUAUAUGCUUGCAUAGUGUUAGCAUGGGAUCUCAGAAAUGAAUUUGUCGAUAGAGUA